UAAGGAAUAUUGGACAAUGCCCGCAAGGGUGAUCCAGCCAUGCCGCGUGCAGGAAGACGGCCCUAUGGGUUGUAAACUGCUUUUACACCGGAGAAAACCCUCGCUCGUGAGCGAGGCUGAUAGUAUGGUGAGAAUAAGCAUCGGCUAACUUCGUGCCAGCAGCCGCGGUAAGACGAAGGAUGCAAGCGUUAUCCGGAUUCAUUGGGUUUAAAGGGAGCGUAGGUGGCCUAAUAAGUCAGUGGUGAAAUCUCUCGGCUUAACCGAGAAAUUGCCAUUGAAACUGGUAGACUUGAGUAUAGUUGCCGUUGGCGGAAUAUGACAUGUAGUGGUGAAAUACAUAGAGAUGUCAUAGAACACCGAUUGCGAAGGCAGCUAACGAAACUAUAACUGACACUGAGGCUCGAAAGUGCGGGGAUCAAACAGGAUUAGAUACCCCGGUAGUCC
This 444-nucleotide ribosomal RNA is filed under the name uncultured bacterium. Its description in RNAcentral is "bacterial SSU rRNA". It matches the Rfam family "Bacterial small subunit ribosomal RNA", at positions 355 to 796 of the family's 1533-position model. The record is from RNAcentral.